GACCUUGUGGCGCAACGGUAGCGCGUCUGACUCCAGAUCAGAAGGUUGCGUGUUCAAAUCAUGUCUGGGUCA
This 72-nucleotide transfer RNA is filed under the name Danio rerio (zebrafish). RNAcentral's name for it is "tRNA-Trp (CCA) (tRNA-Trp-CCA-15-1)". It matches the Rfam family "tRNA". Rfam says of the family: Transfer RNA (tRNA) molecules are approximately 80 nucleotides in length. Their secondary structure includes four short double-helical elements and three loops (D, anti-codon, and T loops). The record is from Rfam by way of RNAcentral. Lineage: Eukaryota; Metazoa; Chordata; Actinopteri; Cypriniformes; Danionidae.